UGCGUAGGCGGACUAAUAAGUCAGUGGUGAAAUCUUUCGGCUCAACCGGGAAACUGCCAUUGAUACUGUUAGUCUUGAGUUCGGUUGAGGUAGGCGGAAUGUGUAAUGUAGCGGUGAAAUGCUUAGAUAUUACACAGAACACCAAUUGCGUAGGCAGCUUACUAGACCGACACUGACGCUGAGGCACGAAAGCGUGGGGAGCGAACAGGAUUAGAUACCCUGGUAGUCA
This 229-nucleotide ribosomal RNA is filed under the name uncultured bacterium. RNAcentral describes it as "partial 16S ribosomal RNA". It matches the Rfam family "Bacterial small subunit ribosomal RNA", at positions 568 to 796 of the family's 1533-position model. The record is from RNAcentral.